This 497-nucleotide ribosomal RNA is filed under the name uncultured bacterium. Its description in RNAcentral is "partial 16S ribosomal RNA". It matches the Rfam family "Bacterial small subunit ribosomal RNA", at positions 355 to 867 of the family's 1533-position model. The record is from RNAcentral.
UGGGGAAUAUUGGACAAUGGGGGCAACCCUGAUCCAGCAAUGCCGCGUGUGUGAAGAAGGUCUUCGGAUUGUAAAGCACUUUCGACGGGGACGAUGAUGACGGUACCCGUAGAAGAAGCCCCGGCUAACUUCGUGCCAGCAGCCGCGGUAAUACGAAGGGGGCUAGCGUUGCUCGGAAUGACUGGGCGUAAAGGGCGUGUAGGCGGUUUACACAGUCAGAUGUGAAAUCCCCGGGCUUAACCUGGGAGCUGCAUUUGAUACGUGUAGACUAGAGUGUGAGAGAGGGUUGUGGAAUUCCCAGUGUAGAGGUGAAAUUCGUAGAUAUUGGGAAGAACACCGGUGGCGAAGGCGGCAACCUGGCUCAUGACUGACGCUGAGGCGCGAAAGCGUGGGGAGCAAACAGGAUUAGAUACCCUGGUAGUCCACGCUGUAAAACGAUGUGUGCUAGAUGUUGGGUAACUUUGUUAUUCAGUGUCGCAGUUAACGCGUUAAAGCAC